CCUACGGGAGGCAGCAGUGGGGAAUAUUGCACAAUGGGGGAAACCCUGAUGCAGCGACGCCGCGUGAGUGAAGAAGUAAUUCGUUACGUAAAGCUCUAUCAGCAGGGAAGAAAAUGACGGUACCUGAGUAAGAAGCCCCGGCUAACUACGUGCCAGCAGCCGCGGUAAUACGGAGGGGGCAAGCGUUAUCCGGAUUUACUGGGUGUAACGGGAGCGUAGACGGUGCGCCAAGUCUGGAGUGAAAUACCGCAGCUUAACUGCGGAACUGCUUUGGAAACGGGCGAACUAGAGUGCGGGAGGGUUCAGCGGCAUUCCUAGUGUAGCGGUGAAAUGCGUCGAUAUUAGGAGGAACACCCGUGGCGCAGGCGGCUUACUGGACCGUAACUGACGUUGCGGCUCGCAGGCGUGGGGAGCAAACAGGAUUAGAUACCCUUGUAGUC
RNAcentral lists this ribosomal RNA (440 nucleotides) under uncultured bacterium. Its description in RNAcentral is "partial 16S ribosomal RNA". It matches the Rfam family "Bacterial small subunit ribosomal RNA", at positions 338 to 795 of the family's 1533-position model. The record is from RNAcentral.